This 498-nucleotide ribosomal RNA is filed under the name uncultured bacterium. Its description in RNAcentral is "partial 16S ribosomal RNA". It matches the Rfam family "Bacterial small subunit ribosomal RNA", at positions 28 to 507 of the family's 1533-position model. The record is from RNAcentral.
GACGAACGCUGGCGGCGUGCCUAAUACAUGCAAGUCGAGCGGACGAUUCGAAAGCUUGCUUUUGAAUCGUUAGCGGCGGACGGGUGAGUAACACGUGGGCAACCUGCCCUGUAGACGGGGAUAACACCGAGAAAUCGGUGCUAAUAUCGGAUAACACGAAAUGUCGCAUGACGUUUCGUUGAAAGGCGGCGCAAGCUGCCGCUACAGGAUGGGCCCGCGGCGCAUUAGCUAGUUGGUGAGGUAACGGCUCACCAAGGCGACGAUGCGUAGCCGACCUGAGAGGGUGAUCGGCCACACUGGGACUGAGACACGGCCCAGACUCCUACGGGAGGCAGCAGUAGGGAAUCUUCCGCAAUGGACGAAAGUCUGACGGAGCAACGCCGCGUGAGCGAAGAAGGCCUUCGGGUCGUAAAGCUCUGUUGUUAGGGAAGAACAAGUAACGUAGUAACUGACGUUACUAUGACGGUACCUAACGAGAAAGCCACGGCUAACUACGUG